CAGCCGCCACGGUAAUACGAAGGGUGCAAGCGUUAAUCGGAAUUACUGGGCGUAAAGCGUGCGUAGGCGGUUUGUUAAGUCUGCUGUGAAAUCCCCGGGCUCAACCUGGGAAUGGCAGUGGAUACUGGCAAGCUAGAGUGUGUCAGAGGAUGGUGGAAUUCCCGGUGUAGCGGUGAAAUGCGUAGAGAUCGGGAGGAACAUCAGUGGCGAAGGCGGCCAUCUGGGACAACACUGACGCUGAGGCACGAAAGCGUGGGGAGCAAACAGGAUUAGAUACCCGCGUAGUCCCUGUCUCUUAUAC
This 301-nucleotide ribosomal RNA is filed under the name uncultured bacterium. RNAcentral's name for it is "partial 16S ribosomal RNA". It matches the Rfam family "Bacterial small subunit ribosomal RNA", at positions 509 to 807 of the family's 1533-position model. The record is from RNAcentral.